GGGAAACCGGCGAACGGGUGCGUAACACGUGAGGAACCUCGCCCGAAGACCGGGAUACGCCGGGGAAACCCCGGAUUAAUACCGGAUACCCUCAUCGGACCGCAUGGUCUGUUGAGGAAAUGGUCAGCCGCUUCGGGAUGGCCUCGCGGCCUAUCAGCUUGUUGGUGAGGUAACGGCUCACCAAGGCAAAGACGGGUAGCUGGUCUGAGAGGACGAUCAGCCACACUGGGACUGAGACACGGCCCAGACUCCUACGGGAGGCAGCAGCAGGGAAUAUUGCACAAUGGGCGAAAGCCUGAUGCAGCGACACCGCGUGCGGGAUGAAGGCCUUCGGGUUGUAAACCGCUUUCAGGAGGGACGAAAAUGACGGUACCUCCAGAAGAAGGCCCGGCCAACUACGUG
RNAcentral lists this ribosomal RNA (402 nucleotides) under uncultured bacterium. RNAcentral's name for it is "bacterial SSU rRNA". It matches the Rfam family "Bacterial small subunit ribosomal RNA", at positions 89 to 507 of the family's 1533-position model. The record is from RNAcentral.